GGGAGGUAGGCAGUGAAAGAAUCUGGGAUGAAGGGAACAAGCUUACUUUUAUCUUCAUUCACUGUCAGCUUAGGAGACCAAGUGAGGAAUGCAACACUAGGAUUCUUGACCAGAUUUCUACUAAAGCAAAGACUUAAGUUUGCAGACAAAGGAACUGAUCCCAAGAAGAGUUUACUUGCCCAAGAUGUCACAGCUAUAAAAUGGAAGAACAUAAUUUAACUCCCAGAAAGUUGGACUUCCUAGAGUCUAUCACAAUGAGGAGAAAUGCACAUCUGAAUGUUUAAGUCAUCAUGGAGAAUAUUAAAGAAAUUUUUGUAUUUAGUUGCUAAUUACUAUUUACAUCUCCUUGACAUUUACAACAUAAUAAUGGCUUGAUUAUUUAAAGGGAUUGAGAAAAACAGUGCCAAACUUACUGGACACCUGCUAUGUUCUCAGCACUGUGUCAUUUCAUAUGAUCAGCAAGAAAGUUUAAAAACUUUGUUUGAUUAUCCAUUAUGCUAAAAUAAAGGCACUUCGCUCUAAUAUUCAGAUUUCUUAAAUUGUUUUAAAAUAUACCUGAAAAAGAAGAUUAUAGUAAAAUGAUGGGUAAAAUUAGAAACAAAUGAGCAAUUGAAUUGAAAGAUUACUUGCCCAUUUUCAACAUUUGUCA
RNAcentral lists this long non-coding RNA (649 nucleotides) under Homo sapiens (human). Its description in RNAcentral is "HSALNT0138525". Lineage: Eukaryota; Metazoa; Chordata; Mammalia; Primates; Hominidae. The record is from RNAcentral.